Molecule: ribosomal RNA, 501 nt
Filed under: uncultured bacterium
Lineage: Bacteria
Description: partial 16S ribosomal RNA
Rfam family: Bacterial small subunit ribosomal RNA
Source: RNAcentral
AUUGGACGCUGGCGGCAUGCCUUACACAUGCAAGUCGAACGGCAGCACGGGUGCUUGCACCUGGUGGCGAGUGGCGAACGGGUGAGUAAUACAUCGGAACGUACCUUAUCGUGGGGGAUAACGCAGCGAAAGCUGUGCUAAUACCGCAUACGCCCUGAGGGGGAAAGCGGGGGAUCGAAAGACCUCGCGCGAUUAGAGCGGCCGAUGCCUGAUUAGCUUGUUGGUGGGGUAAAAGCCCACCAAGGCGACGAUCAGUAGCUGGUCUGAGAGGACGAUCAGCCACACUGGGACUGAGACACGGCCCAGACUCCUACGGGAGGCAGCAGUGGGGAAUUUUGGACAAUGGGGGAAACCCUGAUCCAGCAAUGCCGCGUGAGUGAAGAAGGCCUUCGGGUUGUAAAGCUCUUUUGUCAGGGAAGAAACACCGGCUCUAACACAGUCCGGGAAUGACGGUACCUGAAGAAUAAGCACCGGCUAACUACGUGCCAGCAGCCGCGGUAA